GUUGACCUCGGAUCAGGUAGGGAUACCCGCUGAACUUAAGCAUAUCAAUAAGCGGAGGAAAAGAAACCAACAGGGAUUGCUUCAGUAACGGCGAGUGAAGCGGCAACAGCUCAAAUUUGAAAUCUGACUCCUUGAGAGUCCGAGUUGUAAUUUGUAGAGGAUGUUUCGGGUUCCCGCUCCGGUUUAAAUUUCUUGGAACAGAAUGUCAAAGAGGGUGAGAAUCC
Molecule: ribosomal RNA, 224 nt
Filed under: Rhinocladiella mackenziei
Lineage: Eukaryota; Fungi; Ascomycota; Eurotiomycetes; Chaetothyriales; Herpotrichiellaceae
Description: partial 28S ribosomal RNA
Rfam family: Eukaryotic large subunit ribosomal RNA
Source: RNAcentral